This 1207-nucleotide ribosomal RNA is filed under the name uncultured bacterium. RNAcentral describes it as "bacterial SSU rRNA". It matches the Rfam family "Bacterial small subunit ribosomal RNA", at positions 8 to 1211 of the family's 1533-position model. The record is from RNAcentral.
AGAGUUUGAUCCUGGCUCAGAACGAACGCUGGCGGCGUGGCUAAGACAUGCAAGUCGAACGAACUAUUCGAUUGAGUAAUCGAGAGAAUAGUUAGUGGCGAAAGGGUGAGUAACGGAUGGGUAACGUACCCUGUGCCUCGGAAUAGCGUCUCCCGCAUCCUUGUGGUGCGGGAUUCCGAAAGGGGCAGUAAUACCGAAUAAUAUCACUUGUCGACGGACAAAUGUUCAAAGAUUUAUCGGCGCAGGAGCGGCCUAUCUCCUAUCAGCUUGUUGGUGAGGUAACGGCUCACCAAGGCAAUGACGGGUAGCGGGACUGAGAGGUUGGCCCGCCACAUCGGGACUGAGACACUGCCCGGACCUCCACGGAGGGCUGCAGUAACGAAUAUUGGGCAAUGGGCGAAAGCCUGACCCAGCGACGCCGCGUGUAGGAGGAAGUCCCUCGGGAUGUAAACUACUGUCAGGGGUAAGAAAGUGUACUUCGGUGCAUUGAUCUAACCCAAAGGAAGUCACGGCUAACUUCGUGCCAGCAGCCGCGGUAAGACGAAGGUGGCAAGCGUUGUUCGGUAUCACUGGGCUUAAAGGGUGUGUAGGCGGGAAGGUAAGCAUUUUGUGAAAGCCCCCGGCUUAACCGGGGAAUUGCUGGAUGUACUGCCUUUCUUGAGGCAAGCAGGGGUGCAUGGAACUCUUGGUGGAGCGGUGGAAUGCGUAGAUAUCAAGAGGAACGCCGGUGGAGAAAUCGGUGCACUGGGCUUGUGCUGACGCUGAGACACGAAAGCGUGGGGAGCGAACGGGAUUAGAUACCCCGGUAGUCCACGCCGUAAACGAUGUCUACUAGUUGUGGAGGUUCUGACACUCCCACGGCCGAAGCAAAAGUGUUAAGUAGACCGCCUGGGGAGUACGGCCGCAAGCUAAACUCAAAGGAAUUGACGGGGCUCACACAAGCGGUGGAGCAUGUGAUCAAUUCGAAGCACGCCGCAGAACCCUACCUGGGUUUGACAUGCUUGAUGCCGUCUUGAAACAGAUUGCCUGCCCGUAGAUGAACUUGCCACAGUGCUGCAUGCUGUCGUCAGCUCGUGUCGUGAGAAUGUCGGUAAGUCCUUACCGAGCGAAACCUUGCCGUUAGUUGCACGGUAUGCCAGGACCUCUAACCGAACUGCCGGGUUACGGAGAAGGUGGGAAUGAACUUCAGUCUCAGGCCUUAGCCCAG